Non-coding RNA from Podarcis lilfordi (Lilford's wall lizard), 76 nucleotides. The record is from the annotation of a GenBank genome assembly. Lineage: Eukaryota; Metazoa; Chordata; Lepidosauria; Squamata; Lacertidae.
GUUCAUCUUAAGGUUCAUUCGCUAGAGCAUGAGACUCUUAAUAUCAGGGUCAUGGGUUCGAGCCCCAUGUUGGGCA